Molecule: ribosomal RNA, 253 nt
Filed under: uncultured bacterium
Lineage: Bacteria
Description: partial 16S ribosomal RNA
Rfam family: Bacterial small subunit ribosomal RNA
Source: RNAcentral
UACGUAGGGUGCAAGCGUUAAUCGGAAUUACUGGGCGUAAAGCGUGCGCAGGCGGCUUUGCAAGACAGAUGUGAAAUCCCCGGGCUCAACCUGGGAACUGCAUUUGUGACUGCAUGGCUAGAGUACGGUAGAGGGGGAUGGAAUUCCGCGUGUAGCAGUGAAAUGCGUAGAUAUGCGGAGGAACACCGAUGGCGAAGGCGACUUCCUGGACCAAUACUGACGCUCAGGUGCGAAAGCGUGGGGAGCAAACAGG